UGGCGGCACGCUUACACAUGCCAGUCGAACGAGAAACCCGAGCUUGCUCGGGUGGACAGUGGCAGACGGCUUAGUAACGCGUGGGUAUCUACCUAGAGGUUUGGAACAACUAUUGGAAACGAUAGAUAAUACCAAAUAUUCCCUUCGGGGGAAAGAUUUAUCGCCUUUAGAUGAGCCCGCGUCGGAUUAGCUUGUUGGUAGGGUAAAGGCCUACCAAGGCUACGAUCCGUAGCUGGUCUGAGAGGAUGAUCAGCAAGAUUGGGACUGAGACACGGCCCAGACUCCUACGGGAGGCAGCAGUGGG
Molecule: ribosomal RNA, 304 nt
Filed under: uncultured Alphaproteobacteria bacterium
Lineage: Bacteria; Pseudomonadati; Pseudomonadota; Alphaproteobacteria
Description: bacterial SSU rRNA
Rfam family: Bacterial small subunit ribosomal RNA
Source: RNAcentral